GGGGGAAGCCAAGCAAAACCAGCUCAUAAUAUUCAUGCUUGUGAGGGAAAUGAACAGACUCCUACAUUGUGUGGUAUAAAUAAGAAUGGGCAAGAGCGGGAAGAACAGCUGCACACAGUGCUGGAGUCAUGUGACCAACACGUGGGAGAAGCUUUACAAGUAACAUCAGAAAUCCUUGGAAAGAUGCCUUUACCUUUCAUAAAAUAAUAGAAGAAUCAGCCUGGCUGUGCAGGGCAGUGCCCUGAGGACACACUGAUCAAGCCCCUACUGGAUCAUGUUGGCGGUGAGGAUUCAGUCGUGGGAUCUGCCAUUCUUGGACAUCAAACGAAGUGCUGAAACAGGAACUGCCUAACUCAGAGCCUAAUUCAUGAAGAGUUAUCUAGACAUAAUCCUAGAUAUUAAUGUUAGUGCAGGGGGAAAGGGACAUUUAGAGAGACCACACAGGACCAUUCUGGGAGCCAUCUGGCAUAGAUGAGCUAAAUAGUACAUAUAAAUCAAUUAUCUGAAUGCAUUUAAGAAAAAGCCUAGGA
Microcebus murinus (gray mouse lemur) is the source of this 530-nucleotide non-coding RNA. The record is from RefSeq and is a predicted model, not a curated record. Lineage: Eukaryota; Metazoa; Chordata; Mammalia; Primates; Cheirogaleidae.